RNAcentral lists this ribosomal RNA (253 nucleotides) under uncultured bacterium. Its description in RNAcentral is "partial 16S ribosomal RNA". It matches the Rfam family "Bacterial small subunit ribosomal RNA", at positions 524 to 776 of the family's 1533-position model. The record is from RNAcentral.
GACAGAGGUUGCAAACGUUGUGCGGAAUUACUGGGCAUAAAGCGCACGUAGGCGGUCCGUUAAGUCAUGUGUGAAAUCCCCCGGCUCAACCGGGGAAUUGCGCCUGAUACUGGCGGGCUAGAGGUCGAUAGGGGUGAGCGGAACUCCAGGUGGAGCGGUGAAAUGCGUAGAUAUCUGGAGGAACACCGGUGGCGAAAGCGGCUCACUGGAUCGAAACUGACGCUGAGGUGCGAAAGCUAGGGUAGCAAACGGG